CCUACGGGAGACAGCAGUGGGGAAUAUUGCACAAUGGGGGAAACCCUGAUGCAGCAACGCCGCGUGAGUGAAGAAGUAUUUCGGUAUGUAAAGCUCUAUCAGCAGGGAAGAAGAAAGACGGUACCUGACUAAGCAGCCCCGGCUAACUACGUGCCAGCAGCCGCGGUAAUACGUAGGGGGCAAGCGUUAUCCGGAUUUACUGGGUGUAAAGGGAGCGUAGACGGCGGUGCAAGUCUGAAGUGAAAGCCCGUGGCUCAACCGCGGAACUGCUUUGGAAACUGUAUAGCUUGAGUACUGGAGAGGCAAGCGGAAUUCCUAGGGUAGCGGUGAAAUGCGUAGAUAUUAGGAGGAACACCAGGGGCGAAGGCGGAUUGCUAGACUGUAACUGACACUGAGGCACGAAAGCGUGGGGAGCAAACAGGAGUAGAUACCCUAGUAGUC
Molecule: ribosomal RNA, 441 nt
Filed under: uncultured bacterium
Lineage: Bacteria
Description: partial 16S ribosomal RNA
Rfam family: Bacterial small subunit ribosomal RNA
Source: RNAcentral